Molecule: ribosomal RNA, 353 nt
Filed under: uncultured Desulfocapsa sp.
Lineage: Bacteria; Pseudomonadati; Thermodesulfobacteriota; Desulfobulbia; Desulfobulbales; Desulfocapsaceae
Description: bacterial SSU rRNA
Rfam family: Bacterial small subunit ribosomal RNA
Source: RNAcentral
UCGGUGACAGGUGGUGCAUUGGUUGUUCGUCAGCUCGUGUCGUGAGAUGUUGGUUAAGUCCCGCAACGAGCGCAACCCUAUCUUUAGUUGCCAUCAUUAAGUUGGGCACUCUAAAGAGACUGCCGGUGUCAAACCGGAGGAAGGUGGGGAUGACGUCAAGUCCUCAUGGCCUUUAUGACCAGGGCUACACACGUACUACAAUGGCCGGUACAAAGGGCAGCGACACAGCGAUGUGAAGCCAAUCCCGAAAAGCCGGUCUCAGUCCGGAUUGGAGUUUGCAACUCGACUCCAUGAAGUUGGAAUCGCUAGUAAUCGUGGAUCAGCACGCCACGGUGAAUACGUUCCCGGGCCUU